UACGGGGGGGGCAAGCGUUGUUCGGAAUUACUGGGCGUAAAGGGCUCGUAGGUGGCCAACUAAGUCAGACGUGAAAUCCCUCGGCUUAACCGGGGAACUGCAUCUGAUACUGGAUGGCUUGAGAUUGGGAGAGGGAUGCGGAAUUCCAGGUGUAGCGGUGAAAUGCGCAGAUAUCAGGAGGAACACCGGUGGCGAAGGCGGAUCUCUGGGCCUGAUCUGACGCUGAGGCGCGAAAGCUAGGGGAGCGAACAGG
Molecule: ribosomal RNA, 253 nt
Filed under: uncultured bacterium
Lineage: Bacteria
Description: partial 16S ribosomal RNA
Rfam family: Bacterial small subunit ribosomal RNA
Source: RNAcentral